CCUACGGGAGCAGCAGUGGGGAAUUUUGGACAAUGGGCGCAAGCCUGAUCCAGCAAUGCCGCGUGCAGGAUGAAGGCCUUCGGGUUGUAAACUGCUUUUGUACGGAACGAAAAAGUCUGCCCUAAUACGGUGGGCCCAUGACGGUACCGUAAGAAUAAGCACCGGCUAACUACGUGCCAGCAGCCGCGGUAAUACGUAGGGUGCGAGCGUUAAUCGGAAUUACUGGGCGUAAAGCGUGCGCAGGCGGUUAUAUAAGACAGAUGUGAAAUCCCCGGGCUCAACCUGGGACCUGCAUUUGUGACUGUAUAGCUAGAGUACGGUAGAGGGGGAUGGAAUUCCGCGUGUAGCAGUGAAAUGCGUAGAUAUGCGGAGGAACACCGAUGGCGAAGGCAAUCCCCUGGACCUGUACUGACGCUCAUGCACGAAAGCGUGGGGAGCAAACAGGAUUAGAUACCCUGGUAGUCCACGCCCUAAACGAUGUCAACUGGUUGUUGGGUCUUCACUGACUCAGUAACGAAGCUAACGCGUGAAGUUGACCGCCUGGGGAGUCGGCCGCAAGGUUGAAACUCAAAUGAAUUGACGGCUGGAGACGUGCGACGGACGACGACGAGGGAGGAGG
RNAcentral lists this ribosomal RNA (619 nucleotides) under uncultured bacterium. RNAcentral's name for it is "bacterial SSU rRNA". It matches the Rfam family "Bacterial small subunit ribosomal RNA", at positions 338 to 954 of the family's 1533-position model. The record is from RNAcentral.